Long non-coding RNA from Malus domestica (apple), 770 nucleotides. RefSeq lists it as uncharacterized. The record is from RefSeq and is a predicted model, not a curated record. NCBI's taxonomy places the organism in Eukaryota, Viridiplantae, Streptophyta, Magnoliopsida, Rosales, Rosaceae.
CAAAAUGGAUGGAAUUAAUGGUAAGGAUAACAUUGAUGCAUGCCAUAUAGAAUAGGGAGGAUAUCGAUUGAAUAAAAAGAAUAGGGACUAAAAUCAGGAGUUUGGAAUAGUACAGGGACAAUUGGUGAUAAAAAGGCCGGAAGUUAUUUUAUCAAGAGGGGUUUUUUAUGCAUUUCAUCUUGGCUUACUGAUGAAGGUUUUCUACAUGAAUAGAACAUGGCUUGAGAUGGCAGCAGGAAAUCCAUUCGGAAAGGUAAGAAAGGAAAAGGAAGGGGGGAAAGACUUUUCUUGGGGGGGAGUCUCCUUCUCGUCUGACACUUUCCCCCAAGCUACACUACAUCGAUUCUCUAUCUUUGUCUCUCUCUCUCUCCCUCCGAUUCAUCACUGUUUUUUUUAUAUAUGCCGCGAUCAAAGAAGUCAGAGCCGCAGAUUCGACGGCCGCCAAGUAUCUGGAGAUCCCUCUACUUCUUGAAUAUUCAACUUCUUCAGAACUGACUAAUUUUACUAGUUACAAUGAAUUGUUGGGAAAAUUUUCUGCCUUCCGAUAAACUGAACGUCUUACGGAAGCCUUAUGGACCUUGGUUUAACGGAAUUUGGGUUAUCGAAAUUUGGUUUAUAUUAACGUUCUAUUGAUGUUGUGAAUUUGAACAAGAGGAAAAGCUUUGACCUUGUACGAUCACCAGCAAUUCUGUGUUUCUUGGUAUUUGGUACUGAAUCAAUGUGAAAUCCCGUUCCUGGAUUUCACUGUUAUAAUCUACGUAUUUGUAUUA